AACCCUUUGUGAACAUACCUAACCGUUGCUUCGGCGGGCAGGGGAAGCCUCUCGCGGGCCUCCCCUCCCGGCGCCGGCCCCCACCACGGGGACGGGGCGCCCGCCGGAGGAAACCAAACUCUAUUUACACGACGUCUCUUCUGAGUGGCACAAGCAAAUAAUUAAAACUUUUAACAACGGAUCUCUUGGUUCUGGCAUCGAUGAAGAACGCAGCGAAAUGCGAUAAGUAAUGUGAAUUGCAGAAUUCAGUGAAUCAUCGAAUCUUUGAACGCACAUUGCGCUCGCCAGCAUUCUGGCGAGCAUGCCUGUUCGAGCGUCAUUUCAACCCUCAAGCACCGCUUGGUUUUGGGGCCCCACGGCACACGUGGGCCCUUAAAGGUAGUGGCGGACCCUCCCGGAGCCUCCUUUGCGUAGUAACUAACGUCUCGCACUGGGAUUCGGAGGGACUCUUGCCGUAAAACCCCCAAAUUUUUUACAGGUUGACCUCGGAUCAGGUAGGAAUACCCGCUGAA
RNAcentral lists this ribosomal RNA (512 nucleotides) under Colletotrichum nymphaeae. RNAcentral describes it as "eukaryotic LSU rRNA". The stretch from base 166 to 319 matches the Rfam family "5.8S ribosomal RNA". Lineage: Eukaryota; Fungi; Ascomycota; Sordariomycetes; Glomerellales; Glomerellaceae. The record is from RNAcentral.